Molecule: ribosomal RNA, 1441 nt
Filed under: Salmonella enterica
Lineage: Bacteria; Pseudomonadati; Pseudomonadota; Gammaproteobacteria; Enterobacterales; Enterobacteriaceae
Also listed under: 1 other name
Description: partial 23S ribosomal RNA
Rfam family: Bacterial large subunit ribosomal RNA
Source: RNAcentral
CUGCGGCAGCGACACUGUGUGUUGUUGGGUAGGGGAGCGUUCUGUAAGCCUGUGAAGGUGUGUCGUGAGGCAUGCUGGAGGUAUCAGAAGUGCGAAUGCUGACAUAAGUAACGAUAAAGCGGGUGAAAAGCCCGCUCGCCGGAAGACCAAGGGUUCCUGUCCAACGUUAAUCGGGGCAGGGUGAGUCGACCCCUAAGGCGAGGCCGAAAGGCGUAGUCGAUGGGAAACGGGUUAAUAUUCCCGUACUUGGUGUUACUGCGAAGGGGGGACGGAGAAGGCUAUGUUGGCCGGGCGACGGUUGUCCCGGUUUAAGCGUGUAGGUGUGUGUUCCAGGUAAAUCCGGUUCACUUUAACACUGAGGCGUGACGACGAGGCACUACGGUGCUGAAGCAACAAAUGCCCUGCUUCCAGGAAAAGCCUCUAAGCAUCAGGUAACAUCAAAUCGUACCCCAAACCGACACAGGUGGUCAGGUAGAGAAUACCAAGGCGCUUGAGAGAACUCGGGUGAAGGAACUAGGCAAAAUGGUGCCGUAACUUCGGGAGAAGGCACGCUGACACGUAGGUGAAGUGAUUUACUCAUGGAGCUGAAGUCAGUCGAAGAUACCAGCUGGCUGCAACUGUUUAUUAAAAACACAGCACUGUGCAAACACGAAAGUGGACGUAUACGGUGUGACGCCUGCCCGGUGCCGGAAGGUUAAUUGAUGGGGUCAGCGCAAGCGAAGCUCCUGAUCGAAGCCCCGGUAAACGGCGGCCGUAACUAUAACGGUCCUAAGGUAGCGAAAUUCCUUGUCGGGUAAGUUCCGACCUGCACGAAUGGCGUAAUGAUGGCCAGGCUGUCUCCACCCGAGACUCAGUGAAAUUGAACUCGCUGUGAAGAUGCAGUGUACCCGCGGCAAGACGGAAAGACCCCGUGAACCUUUACUAUAGCUUGACACUGAACAUUGAGCCUUGAUGUGUAGGAUAGGUGGGAGGCUUUGAAGUGUGGACGCCAGUCUGCAUGGAGCCGACCUUGAAAUACCACCCUUUAAUGUUUGAUGUUCUAACGUGGACCCGUUACCCGGGUUGCGGACAGUGUCUGGUGGGUAGUUUGACUGGGGCGGUCUCCUCCUAAAGAGUAACGGAGGAGCACGAAGGUUGGCUAAUCCUGGUCGGACAUCAGGAGGUUAGUGCAAUGGCAUAAGCCAGCUUGACUGCGAGCGUGACGGCGCGAGCAGGUGCGAAAGCAGGUCAUAGUGAUCCGGUGGUUCUGAAUGGAAGGGCCAUCGCUCAACGGAUAAAAGGUACUCCGGGGAUAACAGGCUGAUACCGCCCAAGAGUUCAUAUCGACGGCGGUGUUUGGCACCUCGAUGUCGGCUCAUCACAUCCUGGGGCUGAAGUAGGUCCCAAGGGUAUGGCUGUUCGCCAUUUAAAGUGGUACGCGAGCUGGGUUUAGAACGUCGUG